CCAAUGUGCUGGAGUCCACAGACUGUUCCCUGAAUGCAGCCCAGCUUGGGAGAAAGCCAUUGUGAGCGGGCCCAGGUGCAGCAGCUGGUUGGGCGCUAUGUGGGUAUGGAGGUCUGCAAGGCUUCUUGAAGGACAGCGUUAGGGAUCAUAUAUCUUCUGAGCUCCAGACCCACAUCCAGGACGUCCUGUGGACAAUUCUCCCACAGUGCAUCUUGCCCCACCUUGUCCCCUGCAUUUUAAAACCUUGAUCCAGGGGCCAUGUCCCAUCCCCAAGUACAUGGGCAGCCCUGCCUUCCUGUGGACCUGAUAUCCAUCUGACCACUGUGUUCAUCCCCCAGAUUUGUUUCUGGUUUAUCAAGGAGACACAGUGACCCACGGCGUGGUCAGCUUCUGCUUGGCUGAACUUCCCUGCGAGGGCUUAACUCCUAGUGCU
This 433-nucleotide long non-coding RNA is filed under the name Bos taurus (domestic cattle). RNAcentral's name for it is "long non-coding RNA NONBTAT005560". The record is from RNAcentral. Lineage: Eukaryota; Metazoa; Chordata; Mammalia; Artiodactyla; Bovidae.